AUGUCAUUACGUAAUUUUUGCACGGUUUGCAAAAUACCCUUCGAGGGCAGCUUAGAGGAACCACAUCGUAAAGAUGUGGAUGGUUUUAUUGAUACUAUUACUGUAGGGGAAUCGAGGAAGGUUUCCGAUGCGAGAAUUACUAGCAUACAUUUUCCUGUUUUACGCUACUUUGCCAUAUUUGCUAGUCGAUGCCUAAUUGGUCGCGGAAACUGUAGAAACCUCAUUGUCCCUGAUAUCAUUAUUUUGUUCCAUGCCUUAUUUUGUGACAACUCUUUUAGUAUGGGUGCCGUUAUUGCUAAACGAUUAAGUCUGAACCGUACAAAGGGCCCUAUCUUUGGAGGUGUCUAUGCUACGCGCCUUGCUAAACAUUUUAACAUACCUAUUAGGCGUUAUGAGAAAGAAGAAAAGUUGCUACCUUCUGUUUUUCUAGAUUAUAAGAGCAUGGUAGCACAUGAGUUUAUAGUUAGCAAUGAUGAUAAGAUGCUUCUGUAUAAUUUGAGAUUUAAUAAGAAACACAAUGAGAUUAUUAUCUUGCCUGUGCCCUCUUUGUUUGAUUUAACUGCAGGCCCUUAA
This 573-nucleotide ribosomal RNA is filed under the name Triticum aestivum (bread wheat). RNAcentral describes it as "partial small subunit ribosomal RNA". Lineage: Eukaryota; Viridiplantae; Streptophyta; Magnoliopsida; Poales; Poaceae. The record is from RNAcentral.